CGGCAUCUUGAUAUCGAGGAAUUUGCAGAGAUCCUCAUUAUGAAAUCAUUGAAUAAAGCAGUGAGAGAUGUCGAGUUGGGUUUGAAUAUAUUACCGAAUGCUUUCAAAUGAACCACUAUCCAAUUGGAAAAAUUGACAAAGCAUAUGUUAAGACAACAUUAAAGCUAUUGAAAUUUUGCUUAUUUACAUAAAAAUGAAAUAUUGCUAGAGUGAAACAACUGAAGUAAAGGAAACAAGCCAAAAAAAAUACACCCAUUUAGAUUGGAUAACAAUUACCUUAGUAAAUAGAAAUUCAUACAUGAAAUUAAGCUCAACCUCCGUUACUCUUAAAGGAUCUUCUUCUGAUAUUCUAUUAAAGAAAUCCCGAAUCUCGUUUUGAUUUCCAUAACUCAAUAGCACAUUAACAAGUAUUAAUGAGUUCCAGCUCUAUCUCGAGCCUGCAGGAGGUGAGAAAAGAGAAAGGUGUACUGCACUAGUUCAUAGUCUUUGAUUUUCUACGACCGCUCCCUUGGGAUUUUAGCGAGUAUAGCCACACCAGUUUUUCCAGAUGCACAUCCCGAAGAGAUCCAGGAUCUACGAACUUAGCUUAAGGCGCAUCAGCAGCAAAUUAUACAACUUAUGUCGCAGCAGCAACAAAUGAUGAAAAUCGAUCUUCUACUCCACCAGCUCCUUCUGCUCCAAUAGCUCACUCCGCUUCAUCAGCUUUUACUCAAGCAGCUCUAUCUAAUCCUCUAACUCCUCGAGAUCCUAAAGCAAUUUUUCCUGAUUGUCCAUCUCAUGCUUCUCGUUACACAGCUCCACAAUGACUACUUUUAUAUGUUUUCUAUUUUUUUUAGAUUUU
RNAcentral lists this long non-coding RNA (841 nucleotides) under Jatropha curcas. RNAcentral describes it as "long non-coding RNA (JCUR_LNC000184)". The record is from RNAcentral. Lineage: Eukaryota; Viridiplantae; Streptophyta; Magnoliopsida; Malpighiales; Euphorbiaceae.